CAAAGAUUAAGCCAUGCAAGUCUAAGUAUAAGCCAAGCGGCGAAACUGCGAACGGCUCAUUAUAUCAGUUAUAGCUUAUUUGGUAGUCACAAUGCCUCGGCAUACAGUUGGAUAACUGUGGUAAUUCUAGAGCUAAUACAUACCGCACAACGAUCUUGGCUUCAUGCCAAGGUUGGUAUUUAUUAGAAGGUGGGUGGCUUCCUCGGGGGUCACUUGCUGAAUCAUAGUAACUGCGGGGGCGGCUUCGGCUUCCCCCCACACCGAACGCACGGUCUCUGAUCAGGCGUCUCACCAUUCAGGUUUCUGACCUAUCAACUUUGGGAUGGGUAAGGGUAUUUGGCUUUACCAUGGGUGGCAACAGGGUAACGGGGAAUUGGGGUUCUAUUCCGGAGAGGGAGCCUGAGAAAUGGCUACUACAUCCAAGGAAGGCAGCAGGCGCGCAAAUUAUCCAAUCUUAACACACGGAGAUAGUAACACNNACUCGCGGGGUGUUUGCUUUUAUAGUGAGCCGCGACUGCCAUGGAUCGGAUCUCAACGUUCCGAUGAGGAGCCAUUGGAGGACAAGCUCUGGUGCCAGCACCCGCGGUAAUUCCAGCUCCAAUAGCGUAUAUUAACGGUGCUGCAGUUAAAACGCCCGUAGUCGGAUUGGGUACACAGGGGUAGUGCGACUUCACUGUUGGCUGCAUCCGUCGUACACUGAGGCUGCAGCUUCGGCGACAGUCUCACCUCCUUGAGCAAAUAAGAGGAUUGAAGCAGGUCACCGCCUGCAUAGCAUUAGCAUGGAAUGGUUAUUACAGCAGGGUCUCCUGCAUGGAGACAUCUAUUUUUAUCAACAGGAUCGGGUUGGGGGUAUUUUGUAUCUAGUGGCUAGAGGUGAAAUUCUUGGAUUCACUAGAGACAGACUGAAGCGAAGGCGUUUAUCAAAGACGUAUUCAUUGAUCAAGGACGAAAGUUGGGGGAUCGAAGACGAUUAGAUACCGUUGUAGUCCCAACGGUCAACUAUGCCGGCUUGGUGGAGGUGAUAGCGUUGAGUGUGAACCACUCCUCGCGUGUUCCAGCUUCUCGGUUAGAACAUCAUCUCCGUCAAAGGGAAACCUUAAGCUUUUGGGUUCUGGGGGGAGUAUGGUCGCAAGGCUGAAACUUGAAGGAAUUGACGGAAGAGCACACCAGAAAUGGAUUGUGCGGCUUAAUUUGACUCAACACGGGGAAACUUACCAGGACCAGACAGGUGGAGGAUUGACAGAUUGAUAGCUCUUCGAGAUUACUUGGGUUGUGGUGCAUGGCCGUUCUUAGUUGGUGGAAUGGUUUGUCUGGUUUAUUCCGAUAACGAGCGAGACCGGGGCCUUAUUUUGACGAAGCCUUGGUGGAGUCAUUAAGGGACAUUCUGUGCUUCUAAGCAGAAGGAAGCCCCCGGCAAUAACAGGUCUGUGAUGCCCUUAGAUGCUCUGGGCCGCACGCGCGAUACACUGGCAGAUGCAGCGAGUCCUAGUUCUAACGGACUGUCUGCCCCUUCGGGGGCUUAGCACUUGGGGCAAUCUGGAAAACUCUGUCGUGAUGGGGAUCAUCUCUUGCAAUUAUUAGCUUUGAACGAGGAAUUUCUAGUAAGUACGGGUCAUCAGCUCGUGCUGAUUACGUCCCUGCUCUUUGUACACACCGCCCGUCGCUACUACCGAUUGGAUGGAGUAGUGAGAUGUGGGGAGAUCGAUCACGGGCUUCUUCCGGAGCCGGUCUUUGGUCGAACCCCAUCAAACUUGUCUUCUAGAGGAAGUAAAAGUCGUAACA
This 1782-nucleotide ribosomal RNA is filed under the name Dimargaris bacillispora. Its description in RNAcentral is "bacterial SSU rRNA". It matches the Rfam family "Eukaryotic small subunit ribosomal RNA". Lineage: Eukaryota; Fungi; Kickxellomycota; Dimargaritomycetes; Dimargaritales; Dimargaritaceae. The record is from RNAcentral.